AUUGAACGCUGGCGGCAUGCCUAACACAUGCAAGUCGAACGGCAGCACGAUCUAGCUUUGUAGUUUGAUGGCGAGUGUCGCACGGGUGAGUAGUACAUCGCAACGUCUCCUGUUUUGGGGGAUAACAAGUCGAAAGAUUUACUAAUACCGCAUACGACCUGAGGGGGAGAGUGGGGGGGCGCUUGGCCUCAUGCGAGAGGAGCGGCGGAUGUCUGGUUAUCUAGUGUGUGGGGUAAACGCGCACCAAGGCGACGAUCAGUAGCUGGUCUGAGAGGAGGAUCGGCCACACUGGAACUGAGACACGGUCCAGACUCCUACGGGAGGCAGCAGUGGGGAAUUUUGGACAAUGGGCGAAAGCCUGAUCCAGCCAUACCGCGUGUGUGAAGAAGGCCUUCGGGUUGUAAAGCACUUUUGUGGGGAAAGAAAUGCAUCAGGUUAAUACCCCGGGUGGAUGACGGUACCGGAAGAAUAAGCACCGGCUAACUACGUG
Molecule: ribosomal RNA, 490 nt
Filed under: uncultured bacterium
Lineage: Bacteria
Description: partial 16S ribosomal RNA
Rfam family: Bacterial small subunit ribosomal RNA
Source: RNAcentral